Molecule: ribosomal RNA, 175 nt
Filed under: uncultured bacterium
Lineage: Bacteria
Description: partial 16S ribosomal RNA
Rfam family: Bacterial small subunit ribosomal RNA
Source: RNAcentral
CUGGAAUCGCUAGUAAUCGCGAAUCAGCAUGUCGCGGUGAAUACGUUCCCGGGUCUUGUACACACCGCCCGUCACACCAUGGGAGUCAGCAACGCCCGAAGUCAGUGACCUAACCGAGAGGAAGGAGCUGCCGAAGGCGGGGCAGGUAACUGGGGUGAAGUCGUAACAAGGUAGC